Molecule: ribosomal RNA, 354 nt
Filed under: uncultured Entrophosporaceae
Lineage: Eukaryota; Fungi; Glomeromycota; Glomeromycetes; Entrophosporales; Entrophosporaceae
Description: SSU rRNA
Rfam family: Eukaryotic small subunit ribosomal RNA
Source: RNAcentral
AGCAGCCGCGGUAAUUCCAGCUCCAAUAGCGUAUAUUAAAGUUGUUGCAGUUAAAAAGCUCGUAGUUGAAUUUCGGGAUCGACAGGUUGGUCGCGCCUUCGGUGUGUACUGGUCUAGUCGGUUUCUCCCUUCUGACGAACCACGAUGUCAUUAAUUUGGUGUCGUGGGAAAUCAGGACCGUUACUUUGAAAAAAUUAGAGUGUUUAAAGCAGGCAUUAGCUUGAAUACAUUAGCAUGGAAUAAUAAAAUAGGACGGUGGUCCUGUUUUGUUGGUUUCUGAAUCACCGUAAUGAUUAAUAGGGAUAGUUGGGGGCAUUAGUAUUCAAUUGUCAGAGGUGAAAUUCUUGGAUUUAU